RNAcentral lists this long non-coding RNA (5434 nucleotides) under Nicotiana tabacum (common tobacco). RNAcentral describes it as "long non-coding RNA (NTAB_LNC011324)". The record is from RNAcentral. Lineage: Eukaryota; Viridiplantae; Streptophyta; Magnoliopsida; Solanales; Solanaceae.
UUGUAUUUCUUCCAGUGGUGUAAAAGCUUUAAUACGUUUAGCAAUUUGACUAUUUUUCGUAUAAGUUACCAAUAAAUAAGAAGCUUCGUCUAUCAUACAAGUCACUUGCAUAUAAAUGAACUCUUUCCCAAUGGCACUCUUUAGCUAUAAGAAGUAUAUGGUUGAGUUUGAUGAAUUUGUGACGCUAUUAUACAUUGUCUUUGAUAGAUAUGAUCUGACUUUCUCAAUUGCUCACACUCUAAUCCAAAGUGUUGGGCCCGGGCAAGCCCGGGCUGAUCCCAUAUAGAAGCCGGUUGGAAGUAUGUCAGGGUCGUCAUGCCUGCUUCCCAAGGGCUACUUUAGUCUUUUCGUAAAUUUUGCUAACAGCUAACACGCGUAGGGUAACUUUGACGGGUGGUGCGAUUUAGGGGCUCUCACUGCCAGCGACUAAUCCCUCCCUCUGUUCAUCCUCUUUCUUUCUCUGCUUCAUCUUCAGUUUCUUUCUAUCUCACAGCGAUUAAUCUGCUUCCGUUUCCCUCUGCUCAUCCUCUUUCUGCCUCUGCUUCAUCUUCAGAUUUUGUUGUCACUUUUGACGCCAUCGGUUAAUCGAAGGUCUUUGCUUAGGAAACUUGGUUCACUGACUUUCUUGCCAAUGUUUUAUCACCAAUACAGCAUCAAACAUUUUCGGAAUAGCCGAGGAAACAGUUACGGAGAUUUUAAGGUAAUGUUUGAUACUAGAAACAACCUGUGUUUCGGCUUCUACAGCCUUAGCAAAGUUCAACAAUUCAAUAUUAUCCUCUUACAAUAUCUGCUUGCAAGUCUUGAACUUUUUUAUUUGUUUUCCCAUCCUUGAUAAGAGUUCUUGCCCCAACUUUUCUACCAAGAAUGUUUGAUGGGGUUGAAACAAAUGUUGUUAUUAUGAAAAGGGUGAUGAGAAGGGAAAUGAGUUUUGUGGAUUUCGUUGUAUUUUGAUGAUUGAAAUUUUACGAAUGUUUGGGAGAAGAAGGGGAAUAGUGUUCAUGCUAAGUCUAAGAAAGAAAUGAAAUAAGAAAUAAACACAAUAAGUGUAAGGAAUCACCAAUUGUUUGCUAGAUCACAAGUUUUUUUCUUUGCCUGCUUUGCUUUCAGUUAGCCAGCCUGUUAUGUGUAUGCCAGCUUUGCUUUUAGUUAGCUAGCCUGCUAUUGCUUCCUCUUUGUCAGUAUUUAUUGAGAAAUAUUAGUUGGUUCUGGAAUAAAGCACUGGAAGAUCUUUCUUCGGUUUGUAAAUGAAAAUUUUGAUUACAUCUUCUACUGAUUGAGUUGCUACACUUCUAACAAAACUCAUGUGGUCGCUAAAAUUGCAAAAGUGUGCGGGAUAGAUUUCCAAAGAAAAACCUUAUUUGAUUUUUUUGAACUUUGGGUAUCGAGGUAUCGGAAGGUAAAACUUUGGAUAUCGAGGCAUCGAAAGGUAAGCACCACAAUAUAAUAUUCUUCUCAAAUGGCUACAGGUGUCUUUGUUUGUGCCCAAGUGAGUAAGUUAUCGAUUCCCACAACGUGUUUGGUUUUUCUCCUUCUUGUGAUAUCAACUGUGCUGGUGAGCUUUGUCCAGUUAUUGAUAUUAAAAGUUGUCACUCUCAUAUAUGAGUUGGUACAAGAGUUCUACUGUUUUUAAUCAUUAUAAAAUUCACCGCCAGUAAACAAACAACACUGUAACCAUACUAAGAGAUAGUUGCUUUCCAAAUAUUUUCUUGCUUUGGAAUUUUUAACUGAAGAAAGGAAAACCCAACUGAUCAAGUGUGAAACUUGUGCAGGACUUUCAGAUAAUUAACUUCCAAAGCAUUCAUUCAUUUGUUUAUGUCUUCAUUUUGAUCUGCCUGUAGUAGGGGUUUGUUGCAGCAUGAUGGACUUGUUAUCCAGUCUGUGAUAUUGAAAUUAAGAAGUAACUUUAAGAGUGACAUUGGAAGUGUGAUUGUGAAAUUCUCAUGUUAUCUUAUUUAAAAAGACACCAUCUUUAAGGGAGUCUCGCAGUGAUAGUAGAAUUUGAAAAAUAACUUUUCAAUACAUGUCCAUCAAGGAGGAGGAGGAGGGGGAGGAGGGGGAGGGGGAGAAGGAGAAGAGAAAAAAGGGGGGAACUAGUAGUACUAAAUACUAACAACAUGAAAUACGAUAACAGAAGUGAACUAAAUCACAUGGAGAAGUGACGAUCUACUUAAGAAUAUGCAGGAACCUGAGUGCUACUAAAGUAAUUGGUAAGAAAAGGAGAAACUUACAACUACGUACUAACCUUCUACCCUAAUCCUCGACCUCCAUACAUUUCUAUCAAGGGUCAUGUCCUCAGUAAGAUAGAGUCGCGUCAUAUCAUGCCUAAUCACCUCUCCUCAAUACUUCCUUGGUUUAUCUCGACCUCUUCUCACACCCGCCAUGGCCCGCCUCUCACAUCUCCUAACAGGAGCAUCAAUGAUUCUCCUCUUUACGUACCCGAACCAUCUCAGUCUCGACUCCCGCAUCUUGUCCCCCAUGAAAGUCACUCCCACGUUGUCCUGGAUAGCUUCAUUCCUAACCUUAUCUCUCCUGGUAUACCCACUCAUCCAUCUCAAUAUCCUCAUUUUUGCUACUUUCAUCUUCUCCAUAUGUGCGUUCUUAAUUGGCCAACACUCCGCCCUAUAUAGAAUAGUUGGUCGGACCACCAAUUGUAAAAUUUACCUUUAAGUCUUGGCGGUACAUUCCUAUCACAUAAGACGUCGAAUGUAAGACUCCAUUUCAUCCAUCCCGCUCAAAUACGAUGUAUGACAUCCUCGUCAAUCCCCCCGUUAUCCUAGAAAAUAGACGCAAUAUACUUGAAAUUAGCUUUCUUGGGGGAUAACUUGAGUAUCAAGCUUCACAUCCACGUGUGACUCAUGAGCCCCGUCACUGAAUUUGCACUCUAAGUAUUUUGUUUUGAAGGAGAAUAAGCUAUAUUCCAAGUUUUCAAAACGUGAAUUCUGAUUGCAGUCAGUAGCAUUCUUAGGCCACGUGAUAUCUAGUGAAGGCAUAAAAGUAAACCGUUAUAAGAUAGAAGCAGUCAUGGACUGGCCAAGGCCGACAACACCAACCGAAAUCAUGAGUGUCUUGGGGUUAGCUGGCUACUAUAGAAGGUUUGUAGAGGUAUUUUCUUCACUUACAACUCCAUUAACUAAGUUGACUCAAAAAGCAAUUAAGUUCCAGUGGUUAGACACUUGUGAACUGAGUUUUCAAGAGUUAAAAAAGAGGUUGACCGAUGCACCUGUGUUAACUUUGCCGACAGGUUUGAGUGGGUUCACAUUGUACUGUGAUGCCUCCAGAGUUGGUCUUGGUUGUGUUCUUAUGCACUACGAAAAAAUUAUUGCUUAUGCUUCCAAGCAGUUAAAGAAUCAUGAGAAGAACUACCUCACACACGACUUGGAGCUUGCAGUAGUGGUGUUUGCAUUAAAGAUAUGGGGACACUACCUAUAUGGCGAGCAUUGUGAAGUGUUUACAGAUUACAAAAGUCUCAAGUAUAUUUUCAAGCAGAAAGAGUGAAAUUUGAGAUAGAGAAGGUGGCUUGAGUUAUUGAAGGAUUAUGAUUUCAAUAUCGUUUAUCGUUCGGGUAAAGUUAAUGUGGUAGUAGAUGCACUUAGUAGCAAGUCAAUGGGUCUGUUGGCCCAUCAUGAUUGUCUUUUUUUAUGAGUUUUGUGAGUGAUGAAGACUAAGCUUACAGAAAAAAUGGAUAUUCUAAGGUGUGUAUUCUAUGUCUAUAUCGACUGACUCUUUUUAGAAGAGAAGGAAUCCUUUAUUUGCAAACAAAAUCAAGGAAUUAUUAGCCAUAGUUGUCCAUUCAGAUAUUCCUCUAUGUUUUCUUCAGCCCUUUUAACUUUGCAUUUUACCCCUUUCAACCUAAUUUUCCUUGUCUUUUUGCAUUUUAAUCCUCUCUACUCUAUUCUAGAAGUUUUCUAUUCAGCUACAAAGAUUCCCCGUGUAUAAUCCCUUAUCUAUCCCUCAUGCCAUGUAUUUUAAACUUAUUUCCAGACAUAGAGUGGAAUGUUAUAAGGAAAAAGGCUUAACGCCUUAUACGAAACAGAACAACAAUGAAGCAGACUUUGAAGGAGCAAGAAACAGAGGCUCCCAGCGAAAUACUCAAAUAGGAAACGAAAAGUUUUAGGUUUCUUUACAAAUCACUAGUUCUUGAACUCAGACAUAUAAUAUUUUCUAUUGUCAAUAAUCCUACAGUAGUAGGUAAGAAUUGGAUAGUUAAUUCUCUUCUUUCUCUAUAUCAACACUAAAUUCAAUAUUUAGGUGUGAAACUUUGAAAUUUAAUUAAAAUGCACUAGUUAUUAUAGAAUUGAUUAUUUGGCGGGUAUAUAUUGGACUGGAGCCCACGUAUUGGCUCGAAAAAUUUUGAGAUGAUGUAUUCAUGCCUGUUCGAAACGCGAAUCAUAGUAUUCAUUCUUAUGGGAAUGGGAAUGAAAAACAAGAGAUACUUUUUCUCGAAAUAUGGACAAACGGAAGUUUAACUCCGAAAGAAGCACUUCAUGAAGCAUCCUGAAAUUUAAUUGAUUUAUUUAUUCCCUUUUUACAUAUUGAGGAAGACAACUGAUGAUAGGCUAUAAUUACAUAUUUUAGUCGAUUACACUCUAAUUUACUACACUUUAGUUGAGUUUGCGCUUGAAUUGCUAGUAUUUUGCACUAACAGUGUGUUUUAUGCCUUGUAGGAGUGAUUCCGAGCUAUAUAGAUGUUAUGGAAUGAAUUUAAGUGGUUUGGAGCUUUGAAGUCUGAGUAAGAGCUCAAGGAAUUAAGCCGGGAUCGCGUUCGGGGAUCAACGGAUGAUAAAACAACAAAACGAAAACUCGAAGAGGCAUAUUGCGCACUGUCUAGUAAAAUAGACCUAACAUUUUGCUCAGAACUCCAUUUGGGCUCCAUAAUAUAUGGUUGGAAAGAUAACUCAAAGGGCUACAACUUUUGUUUUACGUUUUUCCAAAUUCCAAACGGAACAGGAUGAAAAACCGCGGUUUCACCGCGACCGCGGCAGAACUGCGGCAGAGUGCAGACGCAGACAAUUGAAGAAUCAGAGGCCAUGUUUGGCUGCGGUUUGACCGCGACCGCGGUAGAACCGCGGCAGGAGGCGGAAAUUUCAGGGACUAACGGGAUUUUUAGCCCAAAACCCUAUAUUAAACCAAGGAAGCCGGCAAAGAAAGGAUUUGGACAUAUUUUUGACAUAGGUUUGACCUAUGGAGGCAGAGACACAAUAGGAGCAAGGCUUGGGAAUUCUUCUACAAGUUUUUUUCUUUCCUCUUCCUAUUUUUCAUUGUUGGUUAUGACUUUUAGUAUUGUAGUUUUACAUACUAUUAUGAAUAGCUAAUUUGUUAUCUAGAGUUUUGAUAGAACCUUUUGUAGGAUAAAUCUUGUUAUGUUUUUAUAUAAUUGAGCUGUAGUAUAAUCUCUAUUUGUUCAACUACGUUCUUAUUGUAGUUAAUUGAAGAG